Molecule: small nuclear RNA, 163 nt
Organism: Armigeres subalbatus
Lineage: Eukaryota; Metazoa; Arthropoda; Insecta; Diptera; Culicidae
Product: U1 spliceosomal RNA
Exons: 1
Source: RefSeq, a predicted model, not a curated record
AUACUUACAUGGCACAGAGAUUACCAUGAUCAUCAAGGUGGUUCCUCCAGGGUGAGACUCGACCAUUGCACUACGGUUGGGUUGACCUCUGCGAAUAUCCCUCAUGUGGACCAUUCGUGUGUGCAAUUCUUUUUAUUUGUUUUUUUUUAUGGGAUGGAAAUAG